CCAAUGGUAGGAUAGUGGCCUNCCAUGGUUUCAACGGGUAACCNGGAAAUAAGGGUUCGAUUCCGGAGAGGGAGCCUGAGAAACGGCUACCACAUCCAAGGAAGGCAGCAGGCGCGCAAAUUACCCAAUCCCGACACGGGGAGGUAGUGACAAUAAAUAACGAUACAGGGCCCUUUUGGGUCUUGUAAUUGGAAUGAGUACAAUGUAAAUACCUUAACGAGGAACAAUUGGAGGGCAAGUCUGGUGCCAGCAGCCGCGGUAAUUCCAGCUCCAAAAGCGUAUAUUAAAGUUGUUGCAGUUAAAAAGCUCGUAGUUGAACCUUGGGCUUGGCUGGCCGGUCCAUCUUUUUNAUGCGUACUGGACCCAGCCGAGCCUUUCCUUNUGGGUAGCCAUUUAUGGCGAACCAGGACUUUUACUUUGAAAAAAUUAGAGUGUUCAAAGCAGGCCUUUGCUCGAAUAUAUUAGCAUGGAAUAAUAGAAUAGGACGUUAUGGUUCUAUUUUGUUGGUUUCUAGGACCAUCGUAAUGAUUAAUAGGGACGGUCGGGGGUAUCAGUAUUCAGUUGUCAGAGGUGAAAUUCUUGGAUUUACUGAAGACUAACUACUGCGAAAGCAUUUACCCAANGACGUUUUGGUUNNUUNUCCCAAAGGGG
This 651-nucleotide ribosomal RNA is filed under the name Candida albicans. Its description in RNAcentral is "SSU rRNA". It matches the Rfam family "Eukaryotic small subunit ribosomal RNA", at positions 322 to 992 of the family's 1831-position model. Lineage: Eukaryota; Fungi; Ascomycota; Pichiomycetes; Serinales; Debaryomycetaceae. The record is from RNAcentral.